This 560-nucleotide ribosomal RNA is filed under the name uncultured Glomus. Its description in RNAcentral is "SSU rRNA". It matches the Rfam family "Eukaryotic small subunit ribosomal RNA", at positions 546 to 1106 of the family's 1831-position model. The record is from RNAcentral. Lineage: Eukaryota; Fungi; Glomeromycota; Glomeromycetes; Glomerales; Glomeraceae.
AAUUGGAGGGCAAGUCUGGUGCCAGCAGCCGCGGUAAUUCCAGCUCCAAUAGCGUAUAUUAAAGUUGUUGCAGUUAAAAAGCUCGUAGUUGAAUUUCGGGAUCAAUAUUUCGGUCAUGCCGUUGGUAUGCACUGUUAUCAUUGAUUUCUCACCUUCUAAAGAACCGUAAUGCCAUUAAUUUGGUGUUACGGGGAAUUAGGACUGUUACCUUGAAAAAAUUAGAGUGUUUAAAGCAGGCUCACGCUUGAAUACAUUAGCAUGGAAUAAUGAAAUAGGACAUCCGAUUCUAUUUUGUUGGUUUCCAGGAUCGAUGUAAUGAUUAAUAGGGAUAGUUGGGGGCAUUAGUAUUCAAUUGUCAGAGGUGAAAUUCUUGGAUUUAUUGAAGACUAACUACUGCGAAAGCAUUUGCCAAGGAUGUUUUCAUUAAUCAAGAACGAAAGUUAGGGGAUCGAAGACGAUCAGAUACCGUCGUAGUCUUAACCAUAAACUAUGCCGACUAGGGAUCGGAUGAUGUUAAUUUUUUAAUGACUCAUUCGGCGCCUUACGGGAAACCAAAGUGU